This is a non-coding RNA of Arachis ipaensis, 1065 nucleotides long. The record is from RefSeq and is a predicted model, not a curated record. Lineage: Eukaryota; Viridiplantae; Streptophyta; Magnoliopsida; Fabales; Fabaceae.
AUCCUGUGUGUUAGAAAUUUUAUUUCAAAACAUUUGUUUCCCUUCUUUUAGUUUGUUUCAUGUGUGUGUGUGUUUGGAUUUAGGUCAGAUCAAAGCAGGAGCUCCUUGCAGAGGCAAGCCACUAGAAAAGUACAUCUAGAACUUUUUCUUACUUCUUAUGCUGAUGGAAUAUAGUGCACUGUUAUUUCUUCACCUAAAAUCUUAUUUUGAUUUGUUUAAGCUGAUUUGCUUCAUUUUAUCUUUUUGUUUUAAUUUAAUUGUUGUUUUUGUUGCUGAGAACGUUGCAUAUGGUUAUGUUGUUUGCUUGCUUUAUUGGUUUGUUGAACUAUAGACUGUAGAUCUAGCAUCAUAUAGUUAUGUUACCUUAGCUUCCUUAUAAUUGUGGUUAAUGGGUUAUAGUUGUGCCCUACUUAUUGAUGGAGGGAAAGAACUUUUAAGAUUUUCAAUUAAAAGAUAAAAUAACUUCUCAAUUUAUGGGAAAAAGAUGAUCUUUUUAUUCUUUGUUCUGUGUUUUCUGUCUGCAUGGACGUUUUCUUUGUUGAAGAGAUUGCUUUUGUGUCAAGUUAAUUACUUUUAUUGAUCCAACAAUGUGUGAGCUUCUUUUUCAAUUCUUUGAACAUUGAUACAUGAAAAUUUCAUUUUUAUCAUUGUACAAUUUUUAUAGGUUGCAAAUACUCAGAUGUGGCAUAUUCAAGGUCUUACACUAUGUGAACAACAUCUGAUUUCAACAGAUAUGAUGAGUAGGCAAUACUCUUUGGUGAAUCUGUGAGAACAUGCAAAUAAAACACAAUUUGAGUCCAAGGCAUUUGAUUUAUAUAAAUAAUACUCACUAAAUAAAGGAAUGCUGGAAAAUUUUAUGAAUGAAGCUCAUGAGAAAUUGAAGUGUAGAGUAUGGAGGAGGACAGCAACUUGAGGGUUAUUUGUUUUACGGCGAAGGGUUUUAGUGUGGAUCACUUUCUGUAGGUAAGUUUAAGUUUCACCCGUUCUGUUUAUUUUUUAAAGGUUAGCUUUUAGGAUUUGCUUUCUGGCUUCGCUCAUUUUGGUUUUUUCUGGUGUUAUUUUGUU